Molecule: ribosomal RNA, 419 nt
Filed under: bacterium
Lineage: Bacteria
Description: partial 16S ribosomal RNA
Rfam family: Bacterial small subunit ribosomal RNA
Source: RNAcentral
UGGGGGAUAUUGCACAAUGGGCGCAAGCCUGAUGCAGCGACGCCGCGUGGGGGAUGAAGGCCUUCGGGUUGUAAACUUCUUUUGCUCUGAACAAGGCGCACUUUGGGGUGUGUUGAGUGUAGGGGUUGAUUAGCGCCGGCUAACUACGUGCCAGCAGCCGCGGUAAUACGUAGGGCGCGAGCGUUGUCCGGAAUUAUUGGGCGUAAAGGGCUUGUAGGUGGCUGGUUGCGUCUGUCGUGAAAGCUCAUGGCUUAACUGUGGGUUUGCGGUGGGUACGGGCUGGCUUGAGUGCAGUAGGUGAGGCUGGAAUUCCUGGUGUGGCGGUGGAAUGCGCAGAUAUCAGGAGGAAUACCGGUGGCGAAGGCGGGUCUCUGGGCUGUUACUGACACUGAGGAGCGAAAGCAUGGGGAGCGAACAGG